This 735-nucleotide ribosomal RNA is filed under the name uncultured bacterium. Its description in RNAcentral is "bacterial SSU rRNA". It matches the Rfam family "Bacterial small subunit ribosomal RNA", at positions 28 to 776 of the family's 1533-position model. The record is from RNAcentral.
GACGAACGCUGGCGGCGCGCCUAACACAUGCAAGUCGAACGAGCGAGAGAGAGCUUGCUUUCUCGAGCGAGUGGCGAACGGGUGAGUAACGCGUGAGGAACCUGCCUCAAAGAGGGGGACAACAGUUGGAAACGACUGCUAAUACCGCAUAAGCCCACAGCUCGGCAUCGAGCAGAGGGAAAAGGAGUGAUCCGCUUUGAGAUGGCCUCGCGUCCGAUUAGCUGGUUGGUGAGGUAACGGCCCACCAAGGCGACGAUCGGUAGCCGGACUGAGAGGUUGAACGGCCACAUUGGGACUGAGACACGGCCCAGACUCCUACGGGAGGCAGCAGUGGGGAAUAUUGCACAAUGGGGGAAACCCCGAUGCAGCGACGCCGCGUGGAGGAAGAAGGUCUUCGGAUUGUAAACUCCUGUUGUUGAGGAAGAUAAUGACGGUACUCAACAAGGAAGUGACGGCUAACUACGUGCCAGCAGCCGCGGUAAAACGUAGGUCACAAGCGUUGUCCGGAAUUACUGGGUGUAAAGGGAGCGCAGGCGGGAAAGCAAGUUGGAAGUGAAAUCCAUGGGCUCAACCCAUGAACUGCUUUCAAAACUGUUUUUCUUGAGUAGUGCAGAGGUAGGCGGAAUUCCCGGUGUAGCGGUGGAAUGCGUAGAUAUCGGGAGGAACACCAGUGGCGAAGGCGGCCUGCUGGGCACCAACUGACGCUGAGGCUCGAAAGUGUGGGUAGCAAACAGG